Molecule: unclassified non-coding RNA, 375 nt
Filed under: soil metagenome
Description: partial contains 5.8S ribosomal RNA, internal transcribed spacer 2, and large subunit ribosomal RNA
Rfam family: 5.8S ribosomal RNA (bases 1-120)
Source: RNAcentral
GAUGAAGAACGUAGCGAAAUGCGAAAAGUAGUGUGAAUUGCAGAAUUCAGUGAAUCAUCGAAUCUUUGAACGCACAUUGCGCCCGCCAGUAUUCUGGCGGGCAUGCCUGUUCGAGCGUCAUUUCAACCCUCAAGACCCCUUCGGGGGACUUGGUGUUGGGGACCGGCACAGGGGCCUGCCUGCUUGUCUUGCAGCGCCCUCGCCGCCCCCGAAAUGAAUUGGCGGCCUCGUCGCGGCCUCCCCUGCGUAGUAGCACAACCUCGCAACGGGAACGUGACGGCGGCCACUGCCGUAAAACAACCCCAAUUUUAUUAGAGUUGACCUCGAAUCAGGUAGGAAUACCCGCUGAACUUAAGCAUAUCAAUAAGCGGAGGA